AAAAGGGCCUCAAGGGGAGAAGCUCAGAAAAUGAGGUUUUAGGUACCAGCAACUCAACCUCUUUUGUCUGUUUUCUUCCCAUAAAUAAUCAUGUUGUGCAUCUAUAUUUAUUGUAAUAAGCCCAAUUCAGAGAAAUCGGAUCCAUAGCUGAACAGAGAACAAAGGGGAACUGUUCAGCUAUGCAGCAGUUUGCCAUGUCUCCCACACCACUGAAAGAGCCACUGUAUUACCUUCUGUCCUCGACUCCUGGGGGUAUUCUUUUCUCAUGGUGAUGUCCGAUAUUACAUUUAAAGCCAUAAUACUGCAACUGCAAUGGGCUGUCUCAGAAAUGUCAUGGAUCAGUCAUAAUCUCUGAAGAACAUACAAUACAUAGUGGACUGACAGAUUUUAUAAAGUAAUCUGCAGUGGAAAAGGUUUUUUGUGUUUUUAUUUACCUUUUUGUCAGUACCUCAUCGAGGUUGUAAUGAUUGCUUAAGUCUUUUGAAAGUGAAUUUUGUCGGAUAUAGUCUGAUAUAAGUUGUAGCUGAUGACUGUACUCUAUUAGAGUGGCUAUUUCUCAGUUUACGGAACAGUUUUCUCAGUUUACAACACCUGUCAGAAAUUGACUAGCUGGUUUAAAACAAAAAUAGAUUUUUUUAAAAAGAGUAUAAUUAUUAUUACUAAGUUAAUUUCUUGCACUUUAAAAGUCAGUUUUGACAUGGAAAAUUAAACUAGUAAGGAUCCAAGAAGUAAGAUUACCCUUUGACUAGUAUGAUCUUUUUGCCCAUAGCUGUCAUGAUAAAGAUAAUGAGUAAACUCAGUUGUUUUCUAUUUUGAUCUGUAUGUUUAUACAUGCAAUUAAACUAAAUGGAAUUUUGCAACAUUUUAUUUACUCUAGGAAUAUACCUAGAUGUAAAAAUACAUUAGGUUUUGCAGCCCCAUGGGAAAGCACAUUUUGUCAUAUGUAUUUUAGUGGGCAUUAAACUAUUAUUUAUGAACUAUGAAUAAUGAUCUAAAGAGAUGAGGGAUUAAGAGAAAAUAUUUAAACAUAUUGAAGUGCCCUGUUUUGAAAUAUCUCCUAUAAAUAUUUGUUUUGUAAAUUUGAUUCAGGUUCAACUAUCAAGUAUCAUCAGUCAUUCCUACCAUAUCAUGUCUUUAAAUUCCAAUUAAGGUUGCUUUCUCACUUCCAAAAAGCCUAGGAAGUGUCAAAAGAAACUCUCUCAAGGGCUUCAUCUACUAGAGAUUUCUCCCUCAUUGUUUCUUCAAACAGAUGAGUGCUGCAUACCUUGACUCCAGCCAUGACAACACAAUUCCCAUGAAGCAGCCCUUAAAAAUCACUCUGGAGCUCACACAGCAGGAGACUGAAGAACAUAAACCCAAUGUAAGCCCGAGCUUCCUUACACAUAAUUCUUCAGCUCUGUGGGGCUGCAUGCCUCUCUUUGGCCCACCCUGGUGCACCCUUGUUGCAGGAGUGUGGCAAAUAUGGGGGCUCUGAAUUGAUCCAGGUCUAUUCUGGGCCUCUGCAAGUGUCUGAAGGAACUGUGUCUGUCUGAAAAAAGAUUGAGCAUAUAAUAUUCUCAAAGGAUAUCUUCAAAUUUAAACAAUCCAGGUGAAAAACCAAGAAAGGGAACAGCACCUGCUUCUUUCUAUGCCCUGCCCACACAGCUGUACACAGCACCCAGCGCAGUGGGGAGUGGAUGUGCUAUUCAGCAGUCAUCCCCAUCAAGGACAUAGCAAUGCCCAGUUUACUUUAUACAGACUGACACAUUUAGGCCUUCAUGGAGCUGUAAAAUUUCAUUUUACCUCAAUAACACUUCCAAUGUUCUGAAAGUGAAGCUUUGAAUGUCAGUUUUCACCCUGAAACUGACUUCUCAGGAAAAUUAAGUAAAAUAGAACAAAAUGUAAUCCUGUAUCUUUGCAUUUGCUUCUUUUUACUUCUUACAUGAAACGUAUUGACUGACGCCUCUCUCCCUUGCUGGUAAGCUUCACUGUGUGUAGUGUACCUAAUAUUAAUCUUCACAUAAAUGCAGUUGUAAAGAUAUCACAACCUUAUUGUUACUAAAAUUUUUAUAGAUAUUGUAAUGAGCAAUAAAGUAUAAUUUAUUUAAAUUAAGUACUCAUAGAUGUGUAUAGAGUUUUAAAACACUUUCACACCAAGCUUAAGUAAGAUCUAAUUUUACUGUCUUUUGUUGAGCUGUGCUCUGAUAUCCCAGCUAGUCUUAGGAUAAGAAGGAACAGAAAGGACAAUGCAAGCAGAGAAACUGUUAAGCAAGGAAAAUACAAGUUUAAAAAGUGUAUUCCAAGUUGAAAUUUGAAAGAAAGGAAGUUUUGUUCAGUUAUGACCUAUUUUCAUGCUUGUUUUGGAAUCUUCCUUGGAUUAUACCUGUCAGCCACUAGCUCCUAAAACUGGGGUUAUCUGUGCUUGGAAUUUGGGUUUGCUUGUGCAGGUGGGAUAAGGGUUUGACUUAUAAAUCGCAGUGGUAGUAUCAAGUGAAAAGGUCCCUUCAGGGCCUCUUGGCACUUUCUGUUGGUAGCACGAUAACUUUAUUUCAUUACAUUGUCCAGGAUAUGGAGCCCAAGCAACAGAGAGGCAUUAUUAUCCACAAUCUCCCUGGAAUUUUCUUUCUUCUGUGGAAGAAAUGACUGUACCUUUGGUAGGACAUUCUGUCCCAGCCUAUAAUGUAAAGCAAUAGCAAUCCACACAGAAAAAAAUGAAAGAGUCACAAAAAUAUUCUGUGACUUGGAGUACUUCAAUCGCAUCUGGGAUUCCACAACAUAAGAAGGACAUGAGUCUGCUGGACAAAGUCCAUAGGACGCCACAUAGGGAUGGAUCACCUCUCCUAUGAAGACAGGAUGAGAGGAUUUGGGUUGUUUAACCUGGAAAAGAGAAGUCUCUAGGGAGCCCUUAGAGCAUUUUCCAGUACCUAAAGGGGCUACAGUAAAGAUGGAGAGGGAAUUUUUACAAGGACAUGUAAUGACAGGUCAAGGGACAAGGGCUUUAAUGUGACAGAGGGCAGGUUUAGAUUAGAUAUUACGAAGAUGCUUUGAAGUUUUCAAGGCCAGAUUGGUAGGGGCUUUGAACAACCUGGUCUCCAGUGAAAAUUCUCCCUGUCUGCGACAGGGGGGUUGGAACUAAAUCAUCUAUCCAAACCAGUCUAUGAUUCCAUUAUGUCAUUGAAAACCUGUACAUUUAAAAGAGCUUCUUCUGCAAAUAAUUUCAAACACAUAGUCUAAUGGUAAAACAGCAAAGCAUCAUUUUGCCCCUUUGUAAUCACACAUCUGCAUGCCCAUGACUGGAUUCAUUAAAGGAAAUGUACAUAAUUAAAUGAAAUGUACAUAAUUCUUAUUUGCUGCCUUGAACCUACCAUGAGCAAUGGGGGAGGGGGGGGGGGGUUUGGUUUCAGGUUUGAACCUGAAACAGGAUGGUUGCUUUCUUUUUAUUUGUCUUUUUUUUUUUUUUUUUUAAUUUGGAGAAAGUGAGCUAAAUUCAGCAUUCAAAAUUAAAUCACAUCAACAAUCGUCUUCCAACUUCUGUUAUCUCAGUAUUGAAAGUUUCAUUGUCAGUAUAGAAUUUGUCAGCUGUUGCCUUGUAGUGAUUUGAAAGAGCUUGCUUUCAGGUAUCAGCAGUCCCUAGCUUGUGAGUAGGUGGACAUAUCCUUGAGUAUUCAUGUGUCUGUACGGCAGAGGGUCAGAGGCAGCCGUUCACACAACUUCAUUAAAAUUGUCUCACAGCAGUUCUGGAAGCAUUUCUUAUUACUGUUUAUUAGUCAAAAUGAUGUUAUGAUAUCAUCGCACUUUUAAUUGUCCUGCCACAACCUUCACUUAGUAUAUGAAUGGAGAAAAUGCAGAGAUUGCAAUAUACUCAUAUUUCUUAGCAUUUUCCACAUAUUUAUCUGCUCCCAUACACUUUUGCUCCAUUAUGGAUCCGGGCUGUGACGUUCUUAUACGAGUGUCCAAUGAUAGUGGCAUACCCAGGAACACCCCCAGGGACAAGCCCCUGACUCUGUAUCCUCAAUACAUGUAAGUAAAUACUGCAGCACACUUCCUCUGUGACGGAAGAUGCUGAGGUGCACACGUGGAUGCACAUCUACCAUGUGUGGGACCAGCUGUGCCAGCUGCCAUAAUUACUGCCAGUGUAGGAUCAAUACAGUACAACACAAUCCUCUUUUGGUGAGAGUAAUAUCUGAGAAAAGUAAGUUUGGGGUUUAUAUUAUUGCUUUUGUAGAAAGGUCAUCAGCUUCUUCUAGAGGAGGGUGUGAAAAAUGAUGCUCUAAUCAUCCUGUUAAAGAUGUUAAUUGCCAGUGCAGGUUGGUCAUUUUUUUAGGAGGAAAAUGCAUACAAAUCAAGUUGGUGUACAGUGUGGAUUCUCAUUUCUGUGUUUACAAAAUUAAACUACUUUUCACUGAGCACUUUGGUUGAGGUAAGCUUUGCAAUGAAGAAAGUGUUAUUUUUUCUAAAUAUAUCUUCUUAUUCUAGGGUUUAUAUGAAAAUGCCAGUAAGGCCAAGCUAUGGUAGAGCCACUAGUCAGUCAGGAAAAAUGCAAUUAAUUUUUUUGGGGAGUGGGAAGUAGAAAACACAAUACAAACCCUUUCCCAAAACUCUGGCCAUACUCAGGAAGGUUAAAUGUAUGAGGAGAGUUUGGGAUGAGAGAUAUGGGUGUAAUUUCUUUUCUUUUUUCUGAAGGAGUAUUGUGCAUAGAGGGAAAAAAACCAACCAAACAAAAAAAAACCCAAACAAAAACAAAAACAAAAAACCAAAAAAAAACCCCAAAACCCAGGCAUUUCAAGGAAAAAGGUGUAAGAAAUCCAAGGACAGACAGAAAGGGGUGAUCUUCAAAAAGAGCUAAAGAGAGUGUCUUUGGGUAAAACACUAGAUAAAUCUGAAGUGUGGGUACUUGAUUUUGGUUUUGUUUGAAACAAAAUAUUGCACACAUUCUUUGGGCAGACAAAUAAUUAUAUGAAAGAGCUGCUGACUUUCUUAGCAAUUCUCCAAUAUGCAAGAGACUGAUUUUAGCUAAGUGCUUAUUAAAAAUUAACACUAUUUUCCACUGGCUUAUGAGAACAUUUACUGAAUUUAGUAAGAUUUUACUUUGCUUUUACUUUAUUAUUAAUAUAUCCUCAGAUAUUCUAACUCAUAUUUUUUGCACUCCAUAAAAAGAUGGUUGUAAAAUUCAUUUUAGAGACAUGUUUUGAAACAAAGAGUUUAGAGAUAAAUAAAUGGAAAGUUCUUUUUUGUGCUUUUCUGAAGAAUGGUGUCUUGGCACACAGUAGAAUAGCUUACUUACUUAUUUGGAUUUACAGCUUAGAA
Molecule: non-coding RNA, 5286 nt
Organism: Taeniopygia guttata (zebra finch)
Lineage: Eukaryota; Metazoa; Chordata; Aves; Passeriformes; Estrildidae
Source: RefSeq, a predicted model, not a curated record